GACCUGAUAGCAUAAUUUGUAGUGUACCUGCUGGAAAUGUUCCCGAUGCAAAUGUCGACGCAGGAAAUCCCCGUUCGAUCCGGGGUCAGGUCG
Non-coding RNA from Mycena vulgaris, 93 nucleotides. The record is from the annotation of a GenBank genome assembly. Lineage: Eukaryota; Fungi; Basidiomycota; Agaricomycetes; Agaricales; Mycenaceae.